UCACCACUACAGAACCCACCACCACCACAGCAACAACCACCACUACAGAACCCACCACCACCACUACAGAACCCACCACCACCACAGCAACAACCACCACCACCACCACCAGCCCACUACCACCUAGAUGUUUAAUUCAGGCUGUCAACGGAGUGUUCUACUGGUCCUCCCCCGGCUUCGGCAUCACCAACUACCCGAAUAACUUCAACUGCGCAGUGCGAGGGUUUUCGACGAGAUCCAUGUUGACGCUGAAACUGGAAACGUUCACGCUGCAGAGAGCCAGGAGAAGGAGAUGCGUGGAUGGCGUCGAGUUAACAUUCUUGUACAAUCGAACGAGAACGUUGUGUGGAUCUCGAUCAGGGAGAGUUUUUACAUCGCCAUCUUUCAAUUUCAACUCGAGAUUCUUCACCAACCCCAAGAGAACCUAUCAGGGCUACAACAUCUCCUUCACGCCUGCAACCACAAGUUGUCACCAGAUAAUCACGGCAGCUGUUGGUCAGACUGGCACAAUAACUUCCCCUCCAGCAGAAAAAUACUGCGAAUACCGAAUCCAGGCUCCUUCUGGAAGUCGCGUGCAGGUCGACGAAGUUACAUCUAGGAUUCGAGGGACAAGGAACUGUGCAAUUGACUGGCUUCUGCUGAACGGGAGGAGUGAGAGGAUGUACCCGCCAGACACCAGCUUAAUUAUCUGCGGCAAGAGGGUAGUGUCUUCACCUCUGACAUCCGAGACCAAUGAGAUGUAUGCAGCUUAUCAAGGCACCAGGAGGAGAAGCCGCGGUGUCACUAUCAAGUAUACCAUCAUCUAAGUCAAACGUUCCUUGAUUUUCACGCUCACUCCGUGGACGAUGCAAUCACUACUCCAAUGUAUCUGUACGGGCACGAAUUCAUUAUUACACCUGCAACCCUUUCAGUUUACCUCUUGCCCACGAUGUUUCUUUGUUUAAAAUCAUAUCGCUGGUAAGCCAAGUCAGCUGAUAAAACUUAAACGAGGAACAGUAGCAUCCUUAUAGUGUUCUACAAUAACCGCCCCAAGAAAAUAAAUAUAUGCAGCAG
Eriocheir sinensis (Chinese mitten crab) is the source of this 1053-nucleotide long non-coding RNA. RefSeq lists it as uncharacterized. The record is from RefSeq and is a predicted model, not a curated record. The transcript is spliced from 5 exons. Lineage: Eukaryota; Metazoa; Arthropoda; Malacostraca; Decapoda; Varunidae.